GAUGGAAAGCGCUCCUCGCCACUGCCAACACUUGAGCUUCCAAAGUCAGCUCCGGGUCGAGGAGCACUCCCAAGCUGUGGACCUGGUCCUUUAGAAGGAGUGCAACCCCAUUCAGGACAAGAUCCACGUCACCUACCCAGGAGCUCGAUCCACCCAGUCCAGCACUCCAUCU
Molecule: long non-coding RNA, 172 nt
Organism: Varanus komodoensis (Komodo dragon)
Lineage: Eukaryota; Metazoa; Chordata; Lepidosauria; Squamata; Varanidae
Exons: 3
Source: RefSeq, a predicted model, not a curated record